Long non-coding RNA from Sciurus carolinensis (gray squirrel), 2096 nucleotides. RefSeq lists it as uncharacterized. The record is from RefSeq and is a predicted model, not a curated record. Lineage: Eukaryota; Metazoa; Chordata; Mammalia; Rodentia; Sciuridae. The transcript is spliced from 4 exons.
ACUGGCUCUAAUGAGAACUGAGGGGUAGUCUUGCAAAACCAACCCUGGAAAUCGAAGGCAAACACUGCUGCCUCUUUCUCAAACGGCACUCGGGCUGGACCUGAGAAAUAAUUAGGCAUCUGGUAAAAAGAUCAGAAUUUCAGAAAGUACCUGAUAAUCAAGCUUCUUUGGAAUUCACAACAUGAACUUGGCAGGAGUCAGAAGAGAAGUCAGAGGAGAAGCCUCCCGGAAUUCACGGACCUGGUCUAGAAGAUGUCCAGGGAGUACAGAAAAAGGAGUCAGAGUGAUGCGCUCCUGCCGGCCUCCAAGAAGCAGCACAACCAUGCUGUGAACCACCUACAGGGUCCAAGCAGCAAGAAAAGUAGGAGUUCUCAAGGCCCAGAUGACGGCUGACAAGAAAGGGAGAUUGUCUCCCUGUGACUGCAAGGAACUGAAUUCAGCUAAUGACCAGAACGAGCUUGGAAGCGGAUUCUUCCCCACAACCUCCAGAAAGGGAUACGGCUCAGUUACCAUAUCAAUUUCAAUCUUGUAAGACCCUGAGAAGAGGACUCGCCAGGCCCUGCCCAUACUUCCAAAAUGCAGAAAGAUGUAACUUAACAGGAGUUGCAGAGGUGGGCCGGCAACCUUGGUAUGCAAGCUCCCCAGAUGAGUGUCAUGCGUGUGAGCCCUGGAGAAUGUUCUGCUAGAGAUGCAGCAAGCCUGCAGCUGCCCUCCACCCAACAGUGUCUGAGAGUGUGUGGUUGGGGGAGGGGGCAUUUACUUGUUCCUUUUGAGUCCUAAAGUUCCAUGCCAGCAGAAGCCCAAAUAACUGAGAGAGGUCAAAGCGAAAAGGAAAAAGAGGAAAGGAAAAGAAAUGAGUCUCCAGUUUCCUGCCUGUUGCUGGCCUCUUUUACCCCUUCCUGUUUUUUGGAGACCCCCUGAUGAGAAAAUAGAAGGACCUUAGGUUCCUGCUGGACCAUGCCAUGCUUGCUCCCUCCCUUCCGGCCUCUGCAGGGAGCCUCUUCAGUCCACCUACCAGGAACCUGGGCUGUAACCAUUUAUGUGUCUCCACUACAACCUAUGGCCACACAGGACAGAGAGCAGGGCCAGCCUUGCCCACCAGUGUUUCACAUAGUGCCCAACCCCCGUGCGUGUUUCUUGAAAGAAUAGUCAGAAAAUAGCCAAGGGAGGAAGCAGCAUGGACCAGGAAAGAAGGACCAUUGAGUUGGAACUGGACAGUCUGAAGCAGACACUUAGCAAACCAGGCCGUUCACAGCAGGCAGCUCUGUCAUUGUCCUCCCCGCCCCCACCAACCGCUCCAGCUGCCUCCCAGGAGGUAAGGGGUUAGAAACACGGAACAAUAGGCUCCUGUUCUUUGGCAAAAUUGGGCCAACCCCUAGACCUUGUGCUAUUAAUUUAUGCCCAAACUGAAGUAUGCAGUUUUUGGCCUUCCCUCGAGGCCUGGAGGCCCCCAGACAACACUGAGGCACCCAAGCCCGAGGACCAACUGCUGCUUCACCCACACGUGACAUUGAGCGGCCACCAAGCUCUUCCAAAGAGCUGCUCACACACCUGCUGUUUUUAACACUCUAAAUUCCUUCCCAGCCUGCAAAUGUGGGCAUCUUCAUCCACGGCUGACCGGGAUAACUUGUGCUGCACCUUUCCAAAGCGGAGAAUCGUCUGUUCAAUUCUGAAGUACUAACCACAAGAAAUUAACAAGCACUUACCAAGGAGGUACCUGCGAGGUCCCACAGAUCAUGGGGAAUAUAAAACGUGAGGCAUGAUCCACAGACCAUCAUCUCGAAGCCUGGACUCACUUCAGAAAAGACUUUUCUUGCCUUGACUUCCACAUGAUUCAUCUGUCACCUAAUUCUGAUGUCCAUCCAGGCGUUAAAUGGAUUUCAGGCCUUUUAACCUAAAACCCUCUGCCACCUCAUUCGUUAUACCUAGCAACCAAACACAAAGGGAGCUUAAUAAAUACUUAUGGUGGAUGAUGAUGACUUCAGUCUGGAGACCUGUGGGAUGACUGGCACAAUCACAGACUGUCGGGCUCCUGGAAACCCGGGCCCUUGGUUCUUCCUCUGCUGGGCUUCCCUGCCCCGACCCAACUCCUGGAC